GCAGUGCACACGGCUGCCAGCACAUGCUCCUUCACACUCACAUCCUGGCACUAGUGCAGACAAUUAGACAAAAAUGCACCUGCACCGACACUUCCUCCAUCCACACAGGGCCCCCUCCCUCCCUCCUUUCCUUUCUCCCUCAUGGAAUCAUCAGCCCUUAUUCAGGCCAGGAAACUACCUCCCACAUCCUACUUAGACCUAUGAAGUACACAAGAGACCAUUUUCCUUUUAAAAAUGAAUAUGAGGGGCCCUUACACAUAGAUAAAUGACAUUGAAGGGGAAGAGAAAAUGCCAGGGCCAGAGUGGCAGGUAGGACCUCAGUUGGGAACUGGGGGCAGGUGGAGAGAUUUCUGGGGAGGAGAAGCGCCAGGGGUGCUGAAGUCCCCACAAGGUCAUUCUCAGGUUGUCCCCGACAGCCCUGACUCUCCUGCUGCAGACCAGCCAAUCCCCAGCCCGAGGCCUCCCCACACUCUCCUGUUGGUCCGGCCGAGCCACGUGACCCUCCCGCUCUGUGGCAGCUGCUUGGAUGAUGGAUGCAGCUGCUCAGCUCUACCUGUUGGGGGACGGACUGCACAGCUCCUAAUUACCUCCUUCUUCAGUGAGGGCUGAGGGCUGGGGGCUCGACGCCGGGCUGUUAUGAGACCCCUCUCCUCCGCUGGGGCUGGGGCUGGGGCUGGGGCUGACAACCUGAACUACAGCCAGGCUUGGAGGCAGGCAGCAUUCCCUGAACUGCCCUAGGGUGAGGAGGGUGUGGGGGCACUAACCUGGGGUGUGGAGUGCGAGGAGUGCUUCUGGAAGGUUGACAGAGGGAGAAAGUGCAUCAUAAGUGACUUGGGAAACUGGGAUAGGAUAUUAAAUGAAUGACCUUUCUCCAAGGCCAUCCCACAGAGGGCAAGAUUCAGGUUAAAUAUCAAGGCAAACUUCCUGGCAGCCAGGGAUAAGUGCACUUGAGCAAAAGACAGAAAGGUGGAGAUAGAGGUUUGGAAAGCUUUUUAUAAGAUGAAUCAGAUCAUCAUUUUCCUGUCUGGUGGGUGGCUCGUGGCAAAUAGCUGCAGAAGUAGGCUGGAGUUAGAGUAGGAGGGCUGGAGGUAGAACUUGGAAUGAUUUGUUGGAGCGGUGGGUUGGGUGACACUGAACUGGACGCUUGAGGAGGUUGUGACACAUCAGUGUGGGAGGCUCCAGGUCUGGCCUGGCUUGGGGAGGGAUGAGGAAGACCCCAGGAUUGUAAAGAUGAUGGAACUCCUCCAGACUUCUCCCCGGGGGCACUGAGGUGUUAGGGGGCAGAGGCAUGUAUUCAACAACACCCCAGUGCAAUGGGAUGCCUGGUGGGUGUGAGUGCCCCUGGCUGGAGGCAGGCAAACAGGUGGUUUGGGAAUGGGACCACUACAAGAUUUCUUCUGAUUCUGA
RNAcentral lists this long non-coding RNA (1407 nucleotides) under Homo sapiens (human). RNAcentral describes it as "HSALNT0189508". Lineage: Eukaryota; Metazoa; Chordata; Mammalia; Primates; Hominidae. The record is from RNAcentral.